GCAAUACGGAGCGGCAGACGGGAGAGUAACACGUGGGAACGUGCCCUUCAGUUCGGAACAACCCAGGGAAACUUGGGCUAAUACCGGAUACGUCCGUAAGGAGAAAGAUUUAUCGCUGAAGGAUCGGCCCGCGUCUGAUUAGCUAGUUGGUGGGGUAACGGCCCACCAAGGCGACGAUCAGUAGCUGGUCUGAGAGGAUGAUCAGCCUCACUGGGACUGAGACACGGCCCAGACUCCUACGGGAGGCAGCAGUGGGGAAUAUUGGACAAUGGGGGCAACCCUGAUCCAGCAAUGCCGCGUGAGUGAUGAAGGCCUUAGGG
Molecule: ribosomal RNA, 320 nt
Filed under: uncultured bacterium
Lineage: Bacteria
Description: bacterial SSU rRNA
Rfam family: Bacterial small subunit ribosomal RNA
Source: RNAcentral